UUUUUUUUUUUUUUUUUUUUUUUGUGGACUACCGCUUCAACUUUAUGCAUGGUUUCUUCCACAAUCAUAAUGACACCCUCAAAUUCUACCUGAUUUUUCAAUCAUGCCUCCCUCAAUUACUCCUGAAAGAUGGUGCAUAUUACUACUAGUAUUUUUUACCAUCACCAUUUUCAAAAAGAUUCCUGUUCUUUUUUUUUUUUAAAGUCAAAACACUUACAAGACAAAUUGGGACAAAUUUACAACAUGUAAUCAUUAGCAAGACUUUUAAAUUCUUCUCAUAUCUGCAGUUUAAAUUCUUUUCACAGAAGUCUCAAGUGUUGCAGAUGCGUUUCUUUGUCCUCUUCUUUACCACAGCUUUCUCCAUGUGAAAGAAAAGGCUAAAUGCGUUGAAAGUUUCAUGGACAUGGACCAUCAACAACUUUGCAAAAAUUGAUUCUUUUCUUCCUCAAAACAACUGGCAAAUUCACCAAGCACGCCAUCACUCCAAAAACUUUCUAACCAAACAAGUAUGGAGAAAAACAACUGGCAAUUCACCAUCGGAAUAAAGAAGUCCCAAAAAGUUUGUGUCCCAAAAAUUAAUGCCCUGAUCUAUCCAGUCUCAGGAGCAUAUGGGGUCCCAAUAUUUCCUUUACCAAACUCGAAUUCCAUCUUAAAGCGCCUUGACGGCAGUCACAUUCGGAAACCAAACAUUAUCAAUUUAAGGAAGAAAUCAAGAAAGUGACAAUAGCCACGAAGGCGGAUGGCAAUUGAAUUCAAAUCAAGUGUUGAAAAAUUGCGAUGUGAACUAUAAAAAUAUUAGGUGCGACGUGCCCAUUAUGUGGUAAUAUUACGUGAUGCACUAGUAUUAAUAAAAAUUCAUAGCAUUAACCUGUCUGAAAAACACUUACGAUUAUUAUUUGAUGACAGAUGAUUAGUUUUAGUGCACCACACGUGAGCUAGCGAGUAUGGUCUUAGUAAUAGCCUCUCCGUCAAUCAUACUAGCUUAGCUGAGGACAUGGUACAGUACGAGCAGAAUGGAGAAGAAAAUGGUUGUUUGACGGAGUGCAAGUGACAAAAUUUGGGGCAGAAAUAACAGAAGGGAAGUGUAGUCAUGAACAUCUAUCACUUCACCUUCCAAAAAGCUAGGACAGAGACAGGAGAGAGGUGAUGCAUGCACCAAAUCAAGUCAUCAUUCAACCAAUUCAACAGGAAAGGUUGCUCAAAAUCUUGAAAACCUUAGGCGGUGAACCAUCAAGAGACAAGACGCGUGAAGAAAGAAACAUGGCUGGAGAUUAGGACUAAAACUUAC
This 1288-nucleotide long non-coding RNA is filed under the name Coffea arabica (coffee). RNAcentral's name for it is "long non-coding RNA (CARA_LNC003564)". The record is from RNAcentral. Lineage: Eukaryota; Viridiplantae; Streptophyta; Magnoliopsida; Gentianales; Rubiaceae.